AGGACGAACGCUGGCGGCGUGCUUAACACAUGCAAGUCGAACGGAAAGGCCCGCUUGCGGGUACUCGAGUGGCGAACGGGUGAGUAACACGUGGGCAACCUGCCCUCAGCUCUGGGAUAACUCCGGGAAACCGGUGCUAAUACUGGAUAUCGACUUCUGCCUCGCAUGGGGUGUUGUUGAAAGUUUUUCGGCUGGGGAUGGGCCCGCGGCCUAUCAGCUUGUUGGUGGGGUGAUGGCCUACCAAGGCGACGACGGGUAGCCGGCCUGAGAGGGCGACCGGCCACACUGGGACUGAGACACGGCCCAGACUCCUACGGGAGGCAGCAGUGGGGAAUAUUGCGCAAUGGGCGGAAGCCUGACGCAGCGACGCCGCGUGAGGGAUGACGGCCUUCGGGUUGUAACCUCUUCAGCCCUGACGAAGCGAGAGUGACGGUAGGAGCAGAAGAGCACCGGCCAACUACGCGCCAGCAGCCGCGGUAA
This 480-nucleotide ribosomal RNA is filed under the name uncultured bacterium. RNAcentral's name for it is "SSU rRNA". It matches the Rfam family "Bacterial small subunit ribosomal RNA", at positions 26 to 523 of the family's 1533-position model. The record is from RNAcentral.